Molecule: non-coding RNA, 103 nt
Filed under: Geosporobacter ferrireducens
Lineage: Bacteria; Bacillati; Bacillota; Clostridia; Peptostreptococcales; Thermotaleaceae
Description: SAM-I sequence
Rfam family: SAM riboswitch aptamer (S box leader)
About the family: The SAM riboswitch is found upstream of a number of genes which code for proteins involved in methionine or cysteine biosynthesis in Gram-positive bacteria. The SAM riboswitch acts at the level of transcription termination control.
Source: Rfam by way of RNAcentral
GCCUUAUCAAGAGCGGCGGAGGGGAUAGGCCCUAUGAAGCCCGGCAACCGGUAGAAUUACGCGGUGCUAAAUCCUACAGAACUUGUAUUCUGGAAGAUGAGGA